Molecule: non-coding RNA, 117 nt
Filed under: Bradyrhizobium sp. Rc2d
Lineage: Bacteria; Pseudomonadati; Pseudomonadota; Alphaproteobacteria; Hyphomicrobiales; Nitrobacteraceae
Source: RNAcentral
GGGAGUUGGCCUCCCGGAGCCGGCCCGCAGGGGCAGGCUUCAAACCAAUCCAGGCUGCUGCGUUUAAGAGACGGGGUUGUGAGCGGCUGAACUGCUUCAACUAGAUGCAAAGCAGGA